RNAcentral lists this ribosomal RNA (251 nucleotides) under uncultured prokaryote. Its description in RNAcentral is "partial 16S ribosomal RNA". It matches the Rfam family "Bacterial small subunit ribosomal RNA", at positions 524 to 774 of the family's 1533-position model. The record is from RNAcentral.
UACGGAGGAUGCAAGCGUUAUCCGGAUUCAUUGGGUUUAAAGGGUGCGCAGGCGGGGGAAUAAGUCAGUGGUGAAAAGCUGCCGCUCAACGGUAGUCUUGCCAAUGAUACUGUUUUUCUUGAGUAUGGUUAAGGUAGGUGGAAUGUGCAGUGUAGCGGUGAAAUGCAUAGAGAUUGCACAGAAGGCCGAUUGCGCAGGCAGCUUACUAAACCACUACUGACGCUCAUGCACGAAGGCGUGGGGAUCAAACA